UGAAGAUGGUGAAACAUGGAUGUAUCUCUUAAACCCUAGUUUGUUUCCAGUUUGUUUUCUCUCAGAAUCAUGCCUGCUAUUGUUUGUAUUUGCAUGAACAUGUUGUUACUGUUAUGCUGUCAGCCAUGCUGUAAAUUGAUGUGAUUUUUGAUGAACAUGAAAUUCAAACCCUGCUGCUGUUUCUAAACCUUAAGCUGCCCAGAAAAUUUCUCAUGUGUUUGUUUUGGUUUGUUGUUUGUGGUUACAUGAACCAUUUCCCACUGCCAUGCUAUUUGGGAUGUCGCAUGAAUUGUGAAGUUGAACAUUGCCAUGCUGUUUGUGAGUUUUGUUGGACUUCAUUUUGAUCAAUUGCAUGAAGUAACAUGAAUGCCCUGCUUCCAAAACCCUAAUGCUGCAAAUUCCCAGAAUCAUGGGUUGGAUUGGUUGUUGUUUGUCUCUCAUACGCAUGUACUGUUCCAUUGGCUGAGAGCCAAUGGGAACAUUU
RNAcentral lists this long non-coding RNA (484 nucleotides) under Lathyrus oleraceus (garden pea). RNAcentral's name for it is "Pisum sativum (pea) long non-coding RNA (PSAT_LNC007483)". The record is from RNAcentral. Lineage: Eukaryota; Viridiplantae; Streptophyta; Magnoliopsida; Fabales; Fabaceae.